GACGAACGCUGGCGGCGUGCUUAACACAUGCAAGUCGAACGGAAAGGCCCUGCUUGCAGGGUGCUCGAGUGGCGAACGGGUGAGUAACACGUGGGUGAUCUGCCCCUUACUUUGGGAUAAGCCUGGGAAACUGGGUCUAGUACUGGAUAGGACCAUGCUGUAGGUGGUGUGGUGGAAAGAUUAGUUUCGGUAAGGGAUGAGCUCGCGGCCUAUCAGCUUGUUGGUGGGGUAAUGGCCUACCAAGGCGUCGACGGGUAGCCGGCCUGAGAGGGUGGACGGCCACAUUGGGACGGAGAUACGGCCCAGACUCCUACGGGAGGCAGCAGUGGGGAAUAUUGCACAAUGGGCGCAAGCCUGAUGCAGCGACGCCGCGUGGGGGAUGACGGCAUUCGGGUUGUAAACUCCUUUCAGCCAUGACGAAGCCCUUGUGGUGACGGUAGUGGUAGAAGAAGCACCGGCUAACUACGU
This 468-nucleotide ribosomal RNA is filed under the name uncultured bacterium. RNAcentral describes it as "partial 16S ribosomal RNA". It matches the Rfam family "Bacterial small subunit ribosomal RNA", at positions 28 to 506 of the family's 1533-position model. The record is from RNAcentral.